Molecule: ribosomal RNA, 1435 nt
Filed under: uncultured organism
Description: partial small subunit ribosomal RNA
Rfam family: Bacterial small subunit ribosomal RNA
Source: RNAcentral
GGGUGCUUAACACAUGCAAGUCGAACGGAAAGGCCCUGCUUUUGUGGGGUGCUCGAGUGGCGAACGGGUGAGUAACACGUGAGUAACCUGCCCUUGACUUUGGGAUAACUUCAGGAAACUGGGGCUAAUACCGGAUAGGAGCUCCUGCUGCAUGGUGGGGGUUGGAAAGUUUCGGCGGUUGGGGAUGGACUCGCGGCUUAUCAGCUUGUUGGUGGGGUAGUGGCUUACCAAGGCUUUGACGGGUAGCCGGCCUGAGAGGGUGACCGGCCACAUUGGGACUGAGAUACGGCCCAGACUCCUACGGGAGGCAGCAGUGGGGAAUAUUGCACAAUGGGCGGAAGCCUGAUGCAGCAACGCCGCGUGCGGGAUGACGGCCUUCGGGUUGUAAACCGCUUUCGCCUGUGACGAAGCGUGAGUGACGGUAAUGGGUAAAGAAGCACCGGCUAACUACGUGCCAGCAGCCGCGGUGAUACGUAGGGUGCGAGCGUUGUCCGGAUUUAUUGGGCGUAAAGGGCUCGUAGGUGGUUGAUCGCGUCGGAAGUGUAAUCUUGGGGCUUAACCCUGAGCGUGCUUUCGAUACGGGUUGACUUGAGGAAGGUAGGGGAGAAUGGAAUUCCUGGUGGAGCGGUGGAAUGCGCAGAUAUCAGGAGGAACACCAGUGGCGAAGGCGGUUCUCUGGGCCUUUCCUGACGCUGAGGAGCGAAAGCGUGGGGAGCGAACAGGCUUAGAUACCCUGGUAGUCCACGCUGUAAACGGUGGGUACUAGGUGUGGGGUCCAUUCCACGGGUUCCGUGCCGUAGCUAACGCUUUAAGUACCCCGCCUGGGGAGUACGGCCGCAAGGCUAAAACUCAAAGGAAUUGACGGGGCCCCGCACAAGCGGCGGAGCAUGCGGAUUAAUUCGAUGCAACGCGUAGAACCUUACCUGGGUUUGACAUGGAUCGGGAGUGCUCAGAGAUGGGUGUGCCUCUUUUGGGGUCGGUUCACAGGUGGUGCAUGGCUGUCGUCAGCUCGUGUCGUGAGAUGUUGGGUUAAGUCCCGCAACGAGCGCAACCCUUGUUCACUGUUGCCAGCACGUUAUGGUGGGGACUCAGUGGAGACCGCCGGGGUCAACUCGGAGGAAGGUGGGGAUGACGUCAAGUCAUCAUGCCCCUUAUGUCCAGGGCUUCACGCAUGCUACAAUGGCUGGUACAGAGAGUGGCGAGCCUGUGAGGGUGAGCGAAUCUCGGAAAGCCGGUCUCAGUUCGGAUUGGGGUCUGCAACUCGACCUCAUGAAGUCGGAGUCGCUAGUAAUCGCAGAUCAGCAACGCUGCGGUGAAUACGUUCCCGGGGCUUGUACACACCGCCCGUCAAGUCAUGAAAGUUGGUAACACCCGAAGCCGGUGGCCUAACCGUUGUGGGGGAGCCGUCGAAGGUGGGACUGGUGAUUAGGACUAA